RNAcentral lists this long non-coding RNA (2101 nucleotides) under Homo sapiens (human). RNAcentral describes it as "HSALNT0080385". Lineage: Eukaryota; Metazoa; Chordata; Mammalia; Primates; Hominidae. The record is from RNAcentral.
GUUUGGAUACCCACUAGACAUUUGAAGUUCUACAAUGAACCCAUCAGAGAUGCAAAGAAAAUCGCCUCCACGGAGAUGGAAACACCAGCCACAUGGAUGGAUAAUCCUAUUGAAGUAUAUGUUAAUGAUAGAGUAUGGGUACCUGGCCCCACAGAUGAUUGUUGCCCUGCCAAACCUGAGGAAGAAGGGAUGAUGAUAAAUAUUUCCACUGGGUAUCGUUAUUCUCCUAUAUUUGCCUAGGGAGAGCACCAGGAUGUUUAAUGCCUGCAGUCCAAAGUUGGUUGGUAGAAGUACCUACUGUCAGUCCCGUCAGUAGAUUCACUUAACACAUGCACCAUAUUCUGCUGAUGAGAGCAAGAGAAGGCGUGUGGAUCCCUGUGUCCAUGGACCUACCGUGAGAGGCCUCACCAUCCGUCCAUAUUUUGACUGAAGUAUUAAAAUGUGUUUUUAAAUAGAUCUAAAAUAUUCACUUUUACUUUAAUUACAGUGAUUAUGGGAUUAAUUGCAGUCACAGCUACGGCUGCUGUGGCAGGAGUUGCAUUGCACUCUUCUGUUCAGUCAGUAAACUUUGUUCAUGAUUGGCAAAAAAUUCUACAAGAUUGUGGAAUUCACAAUCUGGUAUUGAUCAAAAAUUGGCAAAUCAAAUUAAUGAUCUUAGACAAACUGUCAUUUGGAUGGGAGACAGGCUCAUGAGCUUAGAACAUCGUUUCCAGUUACAAUGUGACUGGAAUAUGUCAGAGUUUUGUAUUACACCCCAAAUUUAUAAUGAGUCUGAGCAUCACUGGGACAUGGUUAGAGCAUCACUGGGACAUGGUUAGACGCCAUCUACAGGGGAGAGAAAAUAAUCUCACUUUAGACAUUUCCAAAUUAAAAGAACAAAUUUUCGAAACAUCAAAAGCCUAUUUAAAUUUGGUGCCAGGAACUGAGGCAAUCCCAGGAGUUGCUGAUGGCCUCGCAAAUCCUAACCCUGUCACUUGGGUUAAGACCAUCGGAUGUACUACGAUUAUAAAUUUCAUAUUAAUCCUUGUGCCUGUUUUGUCUUGUUAGUCUGCAGGUGUACCCAACAGCUCCGAAGAGACAGCGACCAUCGAGAACGGGCCAUGAUGAUGAUGGCGGUUUUGUUGAAAAGAGAAGGGGGAAAUGUGGGGAAAAGAAAGAGAUCAGAUUGUUACUGUGUCUGUGUAGAAAGAAGUAGACAUAGGAGACUCCAUUUUGUUCUGUACUAAGAAAAAUUCUUCUGCCUUGAGAUGCUGUUAAUCUGUAACCUUACCCCCAACCCUGUGCUCUCUGAAACACAUGCUGUGUCAACUCAGGGUUAAAUGGAUUAAGGGCGGUGCAAGAUGUGCUUUGUUAAACAUGCUUGAAGGCAGCAUGCUCCUUAGGAGUCAUCACCACUCCCUAAUCUCAAGUACCCAGGGACACAAAACACUGCAGAAGGCCGCAGGGACCUCUGCCUAGGAAAACCAGGUAUUGUCCAAGGUUUCUCCCCAUGUGAUAGUCUGAAAUAUGGCCUCGUGGGAAGGGAAAGACCUGACCGUCCCCCAGCCCGACACCCAUAAAGGGUCUGUGCUGAGGAGGAUUAGUAUAAGAGGAAGGAAUGCCUCUUUGCAGUUGGGACAAGAGGAAGGCAUCUGUCUCCUGCCCAUCCCUGGGCAAUGGAAUGUCUCGGUAUAAAACCCGAUUGUAUGUUCCAUCUACUGAGAUAGGGGAAAACUGCCUUAGGGCUGGAGGUGGGACAUGCAGGCAGCAAUACUGCUCUGUAAGGCAUUGAGAUGUUUAUGUGUAUGCAUAUCUAAAGCACAGCACUUAAUUCUUUACCUUGUCUAUGAUGCAGAGACCUUUGUUCACGUGUUUAUCUGCUGACCUCACCACUAUUAUCCUAUGACCCUGCCACAUCCCCCUCUCCGAGAAACACCCAAUAAUGAUCAAUAAAUACUAAGGGAACUCAGAGGCCGAGGUGGGAUCCUCUAUUUGCUGAAUGCUGGUCCCCUGGGCCCCCUUAUUUCUUUCUCUAUACUUUGUCUAUGUGUCUUUUUCUUUUUCAAGUCUCUCAUUCCACCUAACGGGAAACACCCACAGGUGUGGAGGGGCAACCCACCCC